CUUCAUGAGAACUAAAACUCAGGCUUUUGCAUUUCUGAAGACCAGAUGACCCCACUUGUACCAGCAACUUCUCUGUGGCCCUACCCAGAAGGGGACUCAGCGCAAAACAACUGUUUUCCACAACCCUAUGAUUGCAUCCCCAACCAAGCAACAGCACCCAUUCCCUAGCCCCACCUGCCCACCAAACUAUCUUUGAAAAACCCUAGCCUCUGAAUUUUCAGGGAGGUUGAUUUGAGUAAAAGUAAAACUCCAGUCUCUUGUUUAGCUAGGUCUAUGUGUAUCAAACUCUUUCUCUAUUGCAAUUCCUCUGUCUUGAUAAAUCAGCUCUAUCUAGGCACUGAGCAAGAUGAACCCACUGGGCAGUUUCACAAUUACUUCCUGCCUCCUGGGUUACAUACAUUCAUCAGGAA
RNAcentral lists this long non-coding RNA (410 nucleotides) under Homo sapiens (human). RNAcentral's name for it is "HSALNT0280528". The record is from RNAcentral. Lineage: Eukaryota; Metazoa; Chordata; Mammalia; Primates; Hominidae.